RNAcentral lists this long non-coding RNA (4899 nucleotides) under Nothobranchius furzeri (turquoise killifish). Its description in RNAcentral is "lncRNA (ENSNFUG00015002350.1)". Lineage: Eukaryota; Metazoa; Chordata; Actinopteri; Cyprinodontiformes; Nothobranchiidae. The record is from RNAcentral.
CAUCCUGCCCUGUCUUCAUGGGUGUCAUCAUCCUCAGGUGGUCUCUGCUGGCGUGGGUAGGCCUCGGGUGAUUGUUGGCACCGGUGGACAGUAUUAUAUCUUUUCCUCCAGACUUUGUUGCAAGUCCUGUCGGAGAAACUGGUUUGCAGACAGUCCCCGGUGGCUGCAAAAGCUGCCCAGCCACUUCACAAACAUUCUGCCUGCAUUCCUGACAUAUAAGAAGGCCAUCUGCAAGUCUGUAAUGGAUGAGCUGAGGCGCACGGGCAAAUCACCAUCAGACAUGGCAAACCAGGUGAAUGAACUCAUGCAUCUCAAAUAUGAGCGAGCUCACCUGGCAUACCUGCAGGCAAUCGAGAGCGUUUGGGAUGCUGAGGCAGGGGUUCAUGGACAGAAGACCAUUGGGCAGUUUGUGAGAAAGGACAAUGCACCACGUCCUUUUGGCUCAUAUGAAGAUGUCAGUGGGUGGUGUGGAAUUUCUGUUUCCAGCUUCUACCUCACUGACUGUCUGCUGGAAGAGUACAGACGCCAAGAGCCAGUCAUGUCCAGGCUCCUUCAAGGAUCUUUUGGGCAGAUCUUCAGGUCUGACCACACCAGAAAAGUUGCACGCAAAGUGACACUUGCAUCAGGGACAAUGUCUAGCUUUGCAAUCAUGAACGAAAACUGGUUGAUUUGAUUGUUUCCUGGGUGAUGGUUCAGUCUGAGGCUGAGAGGUCCUUGCAGCCGAUGUACGAGGGAGUGGCCAGGAGGUACGCUGAAGCUGAAGUGGAGAAGGCAGGCUACCACUGGGUGGACAGGGAUUGCUGUGCUUCUUUCAAGAUCCCAGACUCCAUCCCUGGUGAACAUUUACUCUGGGAUGCUUGGAAGACAACCCCUGCCAUUGUGAAUGCUGCUACCUCUGGACCCCUGGCUAAUACUAGUGCCUCUCGAUCCCAUUACAACCCCAACAUUGCCAUAAAACUGGACUUGUUUCACUGCCUCAGGCGCUUUUCACGGGAGUGCACGUCUGAGCAUCACCCCCUCUACAGCAGUUUCUGCCAGCUUCUCUCUGCUGCCUUCUCUGUGGUGGAUCAGGAGGACCUCAAGAAGCUCCGGGACGCCUACGAAUUCUGUGGUAUCCGGCCAGCCAAUCCCACCAAACAACACAUACGGGAGCACUGCAGGACCAAGAUACCACAGCCCACACAGCUCCUGGACAGAGUGGAAAAGGUGAUCAACCAUUUUCAUCUGGCCAAGGAUCCAAAUGAUGUCCCUCUGUUUAAACCCUCCAUGCUGAAGACGUGGCGCAUACAGCGAGUGCAUAUUCUCCGUGGAUGCCUCAGUGACCCUGAAAUCUCCGAGAGGAUCAUGUACAGAGGUACAUCACAACAAGAGGGGUACCAUUUCCACCAGGCCCAGUGGAUCACUGGAACCCAUGCCUCCACUGAACUGUUUCAGGCGCAGGCAAUGACAGGAGUGGCAAGAUGGAACUACCAACGACUGGUGGACCUUAAGCGACCAGACAUUGUCCUGCCAGCUGUAUUUGAUCCCGCUUUAAUAGCUGAAUUAAACAGCUCUUACAAGAGAGUGACUGGACAGGAGAAAUAUCCCACUCUCAGAGUCUCUGACAGGGACACCGGCGAAAGAUUUGGACUUGAGUACAUAGAGCCAGGCUGCCGACCGGUCCCUCUUGACUGGGACAAACACAGGACUCAGAAGAGAGGUGAAUCAUCUGCUCCAUUCCUGCUUCCUGUGCAUUCAUCCAUCUCGGCUCAAGUUCCAACUCCAGCGUCAACCUCCAACUUGGGUUCAGCUCCAUCUGUCAGCCCUCUACUCUCUGCUGGUGACCUCCUGAAAGAAGAUGUCCAGGAAUUUCUAGCCACACCAGAUCUUUCGUGUGCUCCACCUCUGCCUCUGAGAGCCUACCCAAGUAGCGCCCACGUCGGACCCAUAAAAACAGGUGGACGGGUCUUUGUGUUGGAUCACACAUGCUGGACACUGCCCAUGAAAGAGGCCAUUGAUGACCUGCUGCAGAAGCACCGUGGGGACAAGGAGAUGCUGAAGCUUGUGGAUCAGGAAUACGCAGCCAUUGUUCAUCGAGCUGCUGCUGAUCCAAACAGCCUUCUGCAUCCUACCACCAGACUGCACAUCUCCCGCUACGUGAAGCACCUGGUGAAACUGCUCAACACCAGUUCUUCUUUGAACAUAAGCCCAGAGAAACUGAGGGAUACACAACAACUGUGGCACUCUUUAACAGAGGGGAGUGAGUCAUCCCAUGUUCCUGUGGUCACUAUUGAGCCAGCUACUUUCAACCCUCCUGCACCUGCUUUGUCCUCACCUCUGACUCAACACUCUCUGGAAAAAAAUCGUAGAGGGCAUUUUGAGCAAACAGCAGCAGCAGCUCCCGCCAGGGCAAAAGAAAAGACAGAAAAAGACCUGUCUUUCCUGCGGACAGCCAAAGUCUCGAUAUGAAACUGAUGGAUCCUCGAUCCACUUUUUCUAUCAACAGGGGCCUGUGCGGUAUUUUUACUGCUCACAAAAGGUGCACCAGAGCUAUGCUGCUGAAGGACUCUCUAACCCUAAAAUGUCCUUUGAAGAUUUUUCAGCCACUGACUUUUUUCAGAGAGAACUGGACGCAACCAAGACGCGAGUGCAGGAGAAGACCGAAAAGAAAAGGCAAAGGACAGAAUUGGCACCAGCAGGCCGUCUCUGUAGGUUCUGUCACAUGGAGCUGAAACAGGGACCCAACAGCCCACACAUCCACACAGGAUUCCCCGGAGUGGCAGGAAAAUAUAUUUACUGUCCCUCCAAGGUGUUCGCUCUUUACCAAAGCCAGGGAAUGGUCAAAGAGAUGAGCUGGAAGGAGUUUAGCAAGUCUCCUUUCUACGAGGCGGAAAAACAAAGAUGGGUGGAGGAAAAGAACAAAUGAACAACUUGGGUUUAUUUAGUUCAUUAGUGUAUUUAUGUAAAUAGAAAAUGUUGUAAAUCCUCAGAGGAUUGUUUCAUUGUUUUUUUUAUCCUCUCUAGGUUACUGAUCAGAUGUAAAUUUGCAAGUGUAAGUUUAACAUCUGUACUUAUGUUUAUUUUGGUUUGUCACAGGAACAUUGGGACUAGUUUGUUUCUUUCUUUGUAUAUAAUGUAUAUUGUGUUUCUGUUAAAAUACCGUCUGGUUCAUGUUAAAUAAAAAAAAACAAAUUGUUCUAUCAUUAAUUGCACCAAAAUGUUAUUUAAAUUGUUGCUUACAGCAGCUACUUGUACAUAUCAACAUCUGCUGGCUCAGUUUGUCUGGAGCAACACAUAAACAAACCUUGCACUUUACUGUUGAAGUUUUGGAUUUAAUGACGAUGACCCUCAAUUUCACCGUAAGAGCUUGUGCCUCUAUCAAGGGGGCUGCUAAUAGCAAAAUCCAUGUUAGAUCUCCGUCAAAGCUGCUUUGGCCGUUUUAUCGCUGUUAAGCUAGCUUGCAUUAACUGUUAGAACAGGAAAUAGACCCUUCAAAAUAAAAGCAUUUCAUUCGAACCGGAAGUUAAUAAAACGGAUUAUAAAUAAAGGCAAGUUGUGCCAAAUUAAAAUACAAGCAAAAGAAGAUGUCAUUUUGGGGUUAGUUACAAUAACAAUAAGAAUUAUCAGUUUCAACGUUGAAUAUCACUCUGUUCGCUGUGGGUAAGAUGUCCUGUCAUGGAAAACCUCUGCUGUUAGAAAUAUUCAUGUUGUAUUUUGUGCUGAUUUUCCCUCUGGGAAAUCAAUUUCCCUCUGGGAUUAAUAAAGUAUUUUUGAAUUGAAUUGAACUGAAUUUGAAUUAAGUUAACCAGAGUGUUUGCAUUUAUUUUAGCAAUGGAGGAAAAAAAGUCUUCAUGUUCCACCAGUAGGCAACCCCUAAACAUUUACCAGAACUUUCUUGGACGGGGCACCUAUGGCUGUGUGUACAAACGUUUUGACCAAGCAGCAAACUGCUUUCGUGCCAUCAAGAAAUUCACGAGUGAGAAGGCAUUUAAAAAGGAGGUGAGGACAUGAUCUUUGUGUUUCAUAAACAUUUACAGUCAAACUGCAACUCAUGUCAACCUUUUUGUGCCUUUUUAGUUAAAAAUGCUGACAUAUCUAAUGGAGAACAAUCUGCAUGAGCAGAACAUCAUCAGGCUUUUUCAUUCAGACCUGAAACAUUUGAGUCUGGCAUUGGAGCUGUGCAGCAUCAGUCUCGCAGAUUAUAUCAAACAACUUGAAACACCAAUGCCUCUACAGGACAUCAGAAUAGUCAUCCAGCAAGUAUGGCACCUUCAGAGGAAACAAGAUUCCACACAUUAACAGAUUUUUAAUUUCCAGAUUUUCUAUUUUUGACCAUUGUUUGCAGCUGGCGACUGCCUUUGAUGCAUUGAAGAAGGUUGGAGUUAUCCACACUGAUGUGAAAACGAACAACAUCAUGUUGGUGGAUCAAAUGAUAAAGCCUCUGCAGGUCAAGCUGAUUGACUUUGGCUUGUCUGUCUUCACAAAGGAUGCCAAGUUCAUCAGAGUCAAUCAGGUUCUUCGUUACAAGUAAGAUUUAUGUUAACUCUGAUGGUUUUGUUUUUUAAGCAAACACAUACAAAGCACGGCCCCCACUUGCAUUUCUAGAUCGAUUUGUUUAUUUUUGCUGUUGAUGAUUGAUCAAACAUUUAAAUCUCAGGGUUUUCCCCAUUUGCAUGUUUUAGACAUACCCCUGACCCAAUUACCAUAGUUAGUAUUUAAUCUAAUUUAAUAAAAAUAGAAUACUUGAGCCCCGUGAAGACCAUUAAGGGUGAUUGUUACGUCCCUUCCUGAACGUCUAGGAGGAUGAGGGGACUAACACAGAAAAAUAGGUGGACGUGUGUGUGUGUGUGUGUGUGUGUGUGUGUGUGUGUGUGUGUGUGUGUGUGUGUGUGUGUGUGUGUGUGUGUGUGUGUGUGUGUG